This 135-nucleotide small RNA is filed under the name Anaerosporomusa subterranea. RNAcentral describes it as "Anaerosporomusa subterraneum c-di-AMP sequence". It matches the Rfam family "c-di-AMP riboswitch aptamer (ydaO/yuaA leader)". From Rfam's summary of the family: This family represents a conserved RNA structure found upstream of the ydaO and yuaA genes in Bacillus subtilis and related genes in other bacteria. The ydaO/yuaA element is thought to act as a genetic "off" switch for the ydaO and yuaA genes in its native state. The record is from Rfam by way of RNAcentral. Lineage: Bacteria; Bacillati; Bacillota; Negativicutes; Acetonemataceae.
AUAUGGACUACGCCGAACUUCCCAAAGGAAUACGGGGGAACCAAUAUUAGUGGGGUGAAUCCGCUAUCAAGCGGUAGGGAUACCUUCCGUCCCGAACCCGUCAGCUAACCCCGGAGGCGAUUAGAAGGAGGAAAC